Non-coding RNA from Lactuca sativa (garden lettuce), 1551 nucleotides. The record is from RefSeq and is a predicted model, not a curated record. NCBI's taxonomy places the organism in Eukaryota, Viridiplantae, Streptophyta, Magnoliopsida, Asterales, Asteraceae.
UAAAAAAUUUGUGCUACCCCUGUACUUUUUGUGUGGAUCUGCCACUUGCUGUGGUCACUUAUUUUGUUGGAGUUGCUUCUAUCAAUUGUCAUAUGUAGAUUCAAGUGCAAAAGAACACCCGGUUUUCUUCACACUUUUUACUAGAUUUAUGAUUGUUAUAUUGUCCAUCAGGUUGCUAGAGUGUCCACAAACUGUUGAGUCAAUAUGGGAGAAUACUUUUGUGAAAUUUGCAAAUAGGUGUUAUUUUUUCUCAUUUAAUAAUACUUUUUUUCCAGGGCAUUCAGGACCUUCCUGCAAUAGGUGUUAUUUAUGAUUUCCAUUGAACCAGCUCCUAUGCUUGAAGAUAAAGAGAAAUGGUUUGUCCGUUUCUCUUGUUUUGAUAUCUUCAGUUCUGAUUUUAAUUUUGUGUUUGUGUUUGCAUUUUUUGUUUUUAUAUAUAUUUUUAAUAAUGUUUCGUGUUUCAAGUCUCUUGUGUUCCGUGAUUUCAUAGCAAAAUGCCUUACAAAAGACCCUCGUAUUACUCCCACUGCUUCUGAGCUGUUAAAGGUAUGCUGGUGUAGCUUUAUCUUAGACAUUAUAUAAAUGACAAAUAUACCCUUCUGUUUGUAAUAUACACACUUCACUUGAAACUGCAUAAAUUCAUAGAAAAAUGAAAAUCUGGAGCUUCUGCAAUGUUGCCCAAGCCUGAGAAGGCAAAGAUAAAUAGGGCUGCUAUGGCUUUGGAAGCAGAACAUGUUGCUUCAGAGACUUGUAUACCAGGAUAUGGGGGAAUAUAACUAUAUAUUUAUAUUUAUAUCUAUUUAUUUUUUAUUUUUUUAUCUCUUUAUUUACUGUUGUGUUAUGCACACAGACACUUGGAGCAAAAAUGAAUGAUGAAUAUGGAGAUACUGGUCCAUCUAAGCCUCAAGUCCCUAAUGGGUACCUCUUGUGCUGUUUUGAAGUGGUGGGUUGAAGUUCUUAGGAAUCCUUAUGAGGGGAUCAAAGUGACUUACAUGUCAUCAUUUUCGAUGAAAUUGAUGCAAUUUGCAAGUCUAGAGGUUCUACUACGGAUGGCACAUGGGUGCACGAUAGCAUUGUGAAUCAGCUCCUUACAAAGAUAGAUGGUGUGGAAGCGCUGAACAAUGUGUAGCUCUUUUGAGGCCUGGUCGUUUAGAAGUCCAAGUGGAAAUCAGCCUUCCAGAUGAAAAUGGUCGUCUCCAAAUUCUUCAAAUUCAUACAAACAAGAUGAAAGAGAAUUCUUUCCUACCUCCAAAUUCUUCAAAUUCAUACAAACAAGUGGUUUGAUGGAAUCAACUUCAUAUGAGUUGGGCUGCCAAAGUUGAAUACACAAGUAAUGAUAUUGAUGAAAUCCGUGAAGAAUGAUCGAAUUUUUUUACAGACUUCAUUUACCAGUGAUAUUUUGUAUCCACAAACAAUAUAACAGUGAAAUGUUAGGUAGCAUUUGUCUUUUGAAGUGUGAUGUACAAUGUUUUUGUUAACUUUGUGAAAUAUUACAUAGCAUCUUCUUUUGACAUGUAAUGUACAUACAAUGUUUUUAAUAACUUGUUUAAC